GACCUCAAAUCAGGUAGGGCUACCCGCUGAACUUAAGCAUAUCAAUAAGCGGAGGAAAAGAAACUAACAAGGAUUCCCCUAGUAACGGCGAGCGAACCGGGAUGAGCUCAAAUUUGAAAUCUGGCGCCCUCCGGACGUCCGAGUUGUAAUCUAUAGAAGCGUUUUCCGUGCCGGACCGUGUCCAAGUCCCUUGGAACAGGGUAUCAAAGAGGGUGACAAUCCCGUACUUGACACGACGACCGGCGCUCUGUGAUACGUUCUCUACGAGUCGAGUUGUUUGGGAAUGCAGCUCAAAACGGGUGGUAAAUUCCAUCUAAAGCUAAAUAUUGGCGAGAGACCGAUAGCGAACAAGUACCGUGAGGGAAAGAUGAAAAGCACUUUGGAAAGAGAGUUAAACAGUAUGUGAAAUUGUUGAAA
This 417-nucleotide ribosomal RNA is filed under the name Biatoropsis macaronesica. RNAcentral's name for it is "Biatoropsis sp. AMM-2022d partial large subunit ribosomal RNA". It matches the Rfam family "Eukaryotic large subunit ribosomal RNA", at positions 1 to 413 of the family's 3401-position model. Lineage: Eukaryota; Fungi; Basidiomycota; Tremellomycetes; Tremellales; Tremellaceae. The record is from RNAcentral.